GGACUCGCGGGCGGUGCGCGCGCGCGCGCGGGGCUCGGCGCCAGGAGGACCCUCUCCGGGGACCCCCGCCCCGGCCCCCCCGGCGGCUCCAGAUGCUCCCCCGGGACCCCGCUCCCCAGCUCCCCCCCACCCCCACCCCCGGGUCCCGCCCCCCCCACCUCCCUCCGCGGCGAGUAGUUACCGAUGGUGGUGAUGACGGUGAUGGCGAAGUAGAAGGAGCCGGCGAAGCGCCACUGCACGCCGGCCUUGUGCGGCUUGAGGCGCAGCACGACCAGCUCGAGCUCCUCGUAGCUGUCCUGGCUGAGGUUGUAGCGCGCCCGCAGCUCCCGCCGCCGCCGCUCCAGCCGCCGCCGCUCGUCGAUCUCGGGCUCCGACUCGAGCGCGUCGAAGACCGCGGCGCCCACCAGCAGCCACGCGCUCCUCCUCGCAUGUGGGGGCAGGUGAGUGGACAGAGCCAGCCCUGCUGGGGGCUCAGGCAGGCUCCCGAGGAUGAGCGAGGGAGCCCUGAAAUGAAAAAUCAGCUGCUCUUCUCCAGUCUGGGAAGUGGGAUCCCAGAUGAAUUAAAGCUGGAAGAAACCUGAGAUCACCCGCUGCCAAUGAGGAAACCGAGGCCCGGGCCUCACGGCCUGCUGGGCCAGAGCUGGGGCCAGAGCCCGCCGGCUCUCCCGCUCUCCCGACGUCCAGCCCGUGGCUCCCGAGAAGUCCUCCAACUCCCCCCGACCGCCUGCAAGAAUCGAGUGGCUCAAGCCGUCCUCUGCGGGAUUCUGGCGCGGCCACGGCCUGCAUUCCCUGACAAACGUGUCCUAAGAGUAUGGGCCAUGAUGUGGACCAUUGACUAUGAGGUGCAGAGGUGCCCAAAGAUGUACUUACCAAAUCCAAUGGAUGUGUCAUGAUGAUGGGAACGAGUGUUGUUGGGGG
RNAcentral lists this long non-coding RNA (918 nucleotides) under Dasypus novemcinctus (nine-banded armadillo). RNAcentral's name for it is "lncRNA (ENSDNOG00000050183.1)". The record is from RNAcentral. Lineage: Eukaryota; Metazoa; Chordata; Mammalia; Cingulata; Dasypodidae.